RNAcentral lists this ribosomal RNA (253 nucleotides) under uncultured bacterium. RNAcentral's name for it is "partial 16S ribosomal RNA". It matches the Rfam family "Bacterial small subunit ribosomal RNA", at positions 524 to 776 of the family's 1533-position model. The record is from RNAcentral.
UACAGAGGUCUCAAGCGUUGUUCGGAUUCAUUGGGCGUAAAGGGUGCGUAGGCGGCGCGGUGAGUCGGGUGUGAAAUCUCUGAGCUUAACUCAGAAACUGCCAUGGAUACUAUUUGUCUUGAAUAUUGUGGAGGUAAGCGGAAUAUGUCAUGUAGCGGUGAAAUGCUUAGAUAUGACAUAGAACACCAAUUGCGAAGGCAGCUUACUACACAGUUAUUGACGCUGAGGCACGAAAGCGUGGGGAUCAAACAGG